This 125-nucleotide ribosomal RNA is filed under the name Richoniella sp. Its description in RNAcentral is "partial small subunit ribosomal RNA". It matches the Rfam family "Eukaryotic small subunit ribosomal RNA", at positions 1657 to 1779 of the family's 1831-position model. The record is from RNAcentral. Lineage: Eukaryota; Fungi; Basidiomycota; Agaricomycetes; Agaricales; Entolomataceae.
CCUUUGUACACACCGCCCGUCGCUACUACCGAUUGAAUGGCUCAGUGAGGCGUCCGGACUGGCUUUGGGGAGCCGGCAACGGCACUCUAUUGCUGAGAAGUUGAUCAAACUUGGUCAUUUAGAGG